This 639-nucleotide long non-coding RNA is filed under the name Homo sapiens (human). RNAcentral describes it as "non-protein coding lnc-PANO1-1:10". Lineage: Eukaryota; Metazoa; Chordata; Mammalia; Primates; Hominidae. The record is from RNAcentral.
AUGGGCAGAGCACCUGAGGUCUGCAGUCAGCAGCCCAGUCCGGGUGAUGCCUCCUGGGAAGGGGCCCAGACUUGGGGGUAACGGCGUCACUGAUGUGGGUCCCUGGCCCCACUGUGGGGUGUCCAGGGUUGUGCCUAUUGGACCGCCCGCCUCACCAUCCCACGCUACUGAGCCUCCUUCCUCAGCCAUUGUCCAGCUUCGUGUCAAGUCCUGGCGUGGGGCUCACCGCCUGCCCCUUGACCGUGGAGUUCGGACGCGUCUCACAGUGAGUGCCCCAGCAGAGCAGGGUUGGGUGCUGAGCAUCAGCAGCUCUGCCAGAGCAAGUGGCAAUUCCCUGGAACCUGGGGUCUUGCCUUUGUUUGGAGACCGAGAGACUCACAGUGUGGGAGGGUCACAGGACAUGUCAUCAGCAGUGAAAAGGUUUUGUUCCGUUUCCUGCCUUCAGAACUUGCACGUGCUGGAAUCCAAGGAUGGGUGGGAGAGGGGCCGUUCCUGGAGAUGUCUGCCCUUCGGGGCUGGCCCAUGCCACAGGACCUCCCAUCACCCCUGCUGCCUUGGUUGGUGAAUUCGGGGCAUGCUGAGCCUUUCCCUUGCAGCCUUUGCACUUGCUACUCUUCCCUCCGCUUAUCAAACUCCUAA